RNAcentral lists this ribosomal RNA (446 nucleotides) under uncultured bacterium. RNAcentral's name for it is "partial 16S ribosomal RNA". It matches the Rfam family "Bacterial small subunit ribosomal RNA", at positions 338 to 795 of the family's 1533-position model. The record is from RNAcentral.
CCUACGGGAGGCAGCAGUCGAGAAUCAUUCACAAUGGGGGAAACCCUGAUGGUGCGACGCCGCGUGGGGGAAUGAAGGUCUUCGGAUGGUAAACCCCUGUCAUGUGGGAGCAAAUUAAAAAGAUAGUACCACAAGAGGAAGAGACGGCUAACUCUGUGCCAGCAGCCGCGGUAAUACAGAGGUCUCAAGCGUUGUUCGGAAUCACUGGGCGUAAAGCGUGCGUAGGCGGUUUCGUAAGUCGUGUGUGAAAGGCGCGGGCUCAACCCGCGGACGGCACAUGAUACUGCGAGACUAGAGUAAUGGAGGGGGAACCGGAAUUGUAGGUGUAGCAGUGAAAUGCGUAGAUAUAGAGAGGAACACUCGUGGCGAAGGCGGGUUCCUGGACAUUAACUGACGCUGAGGCACGAAGGCCAGGGGAGCGAAAGGGAUUAGAUACCCGAGUAGUC